This 387-nucleotide ribosomal RNA is filed under the name uncultured euryarchaeote. RNAcentral describes it as "bacterial SSU rRNA". It matches the Rfam family "Archaeal small subunit ribosomal RNA", at positions 339 to 727 of the family's 1478-position model. Lineage: Archaea; Methanobacteriati; Methanobacteriota. The record is from RNAcentral.
GCGCGAAAACUUUACAAUGCACGAAAGUGUGAUAAGGGGAUUCCGAGUGCUCAUACAAAGUAUGGGCUUUUCUCAAGAGCAAAAAUCUUGGGGAAUAAGUGGUGGGUAAGACUGGUGCCAGCAGCCGCGGUAACCCCAGCGCCACUAGUGGUGAUCGCAUUUAUUGGGUCUAAAGCGUCCGUAGUUGGCUUGAUCAAUCUCUUGUGAAAUCGUGGAGCUCAACUCCACGGCCUGCGGGAGAUAUUGUCGAGCUAGGGACCGGGAGGAGCAAGGGGUAUGCCUGAGGGAGCGGUAAAAUGUGAUAAUCUCAGGUAGACCACCUGUGGCGAAGGCGCCUUGCCAGAACGGAUCCGACAAUGAGGGACGAAGGCCAGGGGAGCGAACCGG